GAUUCUUUCAGGUGGAUAUGAGUCACCUUGUGGAGAUUCAGAUGUGCUAAAUGCAAUACUGAUACCUGUUGGAUGAGCUAUUUUAAACCGAAUGUUCUUUGGCCCAAGUGUUCAUCCUAUUGUACAAGACAUUCCACUUUAAGAUAUUCAAUUGGAGGAAGACUUGAAAGAAGAUGCUCUGAAACUUAAGCAAAUUAAGGUUUUCAAAGAAGAGAGACAGAUCGUGACAACCUCGACGGCUUGCAGCGAGAGUUCAUGGAUGGGUUUAGCAGAGAACCUCCUACAGGACACCCACAUGAGCCACCCAAGAUGUUUGGUUAGAGGACAUUACAUUGUGAAUAUAGAUGCCAAGCCUUUACCCCUACUCCCCCAUCCUCUUGCAAUGGGAAACUUCCUUUGGGCAACCACAUACACUCAGCCUAAGCGCCAGUGUUUUUCAGUGAAGUAGCCUAUCAGUUCUACACUCAGCCACUCCCUCCACCCCCUGUAGCUCCAGUCUAAUACCUCUGGUCGCAACGCAUGACACUCCAAUGACUCCUAUACAUGCCUGUGUAUGUGGAGACCAUCCAUGACACAUGCUGUUUUAGGGUGGGGAUGUUGCUAUGGACUCCAAGUUGUCUCAGUGUAUUUCAUGUGAUGAAUGAGCUGAUAACUUUCUGCUAUUAUUCUUCUAUUUGGCCAGUCACCUCUCAGUAUGUCUUCUAAGUUCCGUGGCACAUCAUCAGCUUAUCUCUUACUCAUACAUCGUAGCUCACUAGUUUAAUCCCUGAAACUACAUACUAAAGCAGAUUUAUCCUCUAUUAAAUUUUUGCUCUUUUUACUCAUUUUUCCUAGACUGGGAAUCCUUGAAGUGGCAAUCCUGGAAAGCAGGGUAAUGAAUCACAGGUCCUAUGACACAUCUGCUCUCUCUCCCGAGCAUAUUAAAGUGCUUGCUAUAAAAGUAGCAGAGUCCUUAAG
Nyctereutes procyonoides (raccoon dog) is the source of this 957-nucleotide long non-coding RNA. RefSeq lists it as uncharacterized. Lineage: Eukaryota; Metazoa; Chordata; Mammalia; Carnivora; Canidae. The record is from RefSeq and is a predicted model, not a curated record. The transcript is spliced from 3 exons.